GAUGAAGAACGCAGCGAAAUGCGAUAGUAGUGUGAAUUGCAGAAUUCAGUGAAUCAUCGAAUCUUUGAACGCACAUUGCGCCCCUUGGUAUUCCAUGGGGCAUGCCUGUUCGAGCGUCAUUUGUACCUUCAAGCUCUGCUUGGUGUUGGGUGUUUGUCUCGCCUCUGCGUGUAGACUCGCCUCAAAACAAUUGGCAGCCGGCGUAUUGAUUUCGGAGCGCAGUACAUCUCGCGCUUUGCACUCAUAACGACGACGUCCAAAAGUACAUUUUUACACUCUUGACCUCGGAUCAGGUAGGGAUACCCGCUGAACUUAAGCAUAUCAAUAAGCGGAGGA
RNAcentral lists this unclassified non-coding RNA (336 nucleotides) under soil metagenome. Its description in RNAcentral is "partial contains 5.8S ribosomal RNA, internal transcribed spacer 2, and large subunit ribosomal RNA". The stretch from base 1 to 119 matches the Rfam family "5.8S ribosomal RNA", at positions 35 to 154 of the family's 154-position model. The record is from RNAcentral.